ACUAUUUUGACAGAAAAAUGUGAUGAUUUUAGAAGUCAUUAAUAUAUAAUUUUAUUAUAUAUAUAGUA
Molecule: transfer RNA, 68 nt
Filed under: Amplypterus panopus
Lineage: Eukaryota; Metazoa; Arthropoda; Insecta; Lepidoptera; Sphingidae
Description: tRNA-Leu
Source: RNAcentral